This is a long non-coding RNA of Carassius gibelio (silver crucian carp), 1036 nucleotides long. RefSeq lists it as uncharacterized. The transcript is spliced from 3 exons. The record is from RefSeq and is a predicted model, not a curated record. NCBI's taxonomy places the organism in Eukaryota, Metazoa, Chordata, Actinopteri, Cypriniformes, Cyprinidae.
AUAAAUGAGAAGGGUCUGGCUGCAGACCAUGGGCGAGUGGAGCUCCACUCUCAAACCGGAAGUACGUCACCUCCACUUGAAAACAUCAAGAUGGCGUCGCCGGGAGUACUUCAAACUUAAAAUCAGAUCAAAUGUAUAUCAAGUGUUAUCCAUCCUCAUAACACCUCCACAAAUAGAGACUGGAACUUCUGAGCACCAUCACCUUGUCUGCUUUGGGACUGUCAUAGGAGAAUGAUGCAGUACUAUUCUGUGUUGAAUUUACAAAACCCCAGCAAUCAGAUGCAUCAGAACAACAAAGCACAACUGUGGUGCCCCAGGCACCUUCAGCAACAAGUAAAUUGCUUUAACUUUAAUGAUAAUGAAAUGUCAGUAUUGUAAUUAAACUUGACCCAUCUGACGUAAUUGUUCAUGCCAGAGAUUUAACAACACUGUCAGUCAGGAGCAUAUUUAACAGGAGCCACACUCAACUGGCUUGAUGGUGACUUCAGUAAGUGUGGUUGACCCUCUUGUUUUUGUGGCUAUAAUAAUUAGGCUAAGUAAACUCACUCUCUUCCAUUUCCCUAACAUGAAACUUGACUGAAACAUGAAAAUGAUACUUAACCGGUGCAGUGAAGAUAUUUAAAGAAACACUAUCACUAUCUAAAGUACAGAAAGCCUUACAUCAUCUCUAGGUGCAGUCACCUACAGCGCAGCCAGCUUCACAAAGACUGUGGGGCUGGUCACCAGGAAAAUGGACAACAGGGAGUGCUUUUGGGGUUUUACUCCUCAGAUGAUCACCCUGGCUACUGUAGCUGGGAUUGCUUCACAGACGAUGGAGGUCUUGAAGAGUAAAGUGUGCGUGCGUGCGCACACAUUGUGUUUUUACUGUAACAAUUAUGGUCACUUGCAGUUAAUUUGUUUUUAGUGUAGUGUAAGAUGUGUUAAUUAUUAUUAUUACUCAAAAACCAUUAAAACUUCUAAAUUGUGGAAGUUAUUCUUCAUUAUGUUACUGUGGUUAUUUAGUAUAUGUUAUUAUUUUGAUUAAAAUACAAAAUUC